CCAUCAACGCCUAUCUUCCUCUUGAAGACCCAUUUGUUUCCAACAGGUACAAUACCUUCAGGAGGGUCUACAAGAGUCCAGACCUGAUUUUGAUACAUGGAAUCCAUCUCGGAUUUCAUGGCCUCUUGCUAACUCUUUGAAUCAAUGUCGGACAUUGCUUCAGUAUAGUCUCUAGGGUCCUCCUUUGUUUCAUUGUCACCUAGAAGGUACAAUUCAUCAAAGUCAUUGUCUAAGCCAUACCUCUUAGGUGGCUUACUAACCCGUUCAGAUCUACGUGGAGCUAGGGGUUCAGGAACAGGGUUGUCAUCUUGUUGAGUGCUUGUUUGUGGUUCAUCAUUAAUCUCAUUAAUUUCUUUCAAUUCUAUCGUUUUCUCGCUACUUCCAUUGAGAACGAAUUCGUCCUCAAGGAACAUAGCAGUUCUGGCGACAAAGACUUUCUUGUCGUCAGGGUUAUAGAAUUCGUAUCCCAAAGUCUGUUUGGAAUACCCCACAAAGUAGCACUUAACAAAUCUUGCUUCAAGCUUGUCAGCUUCAAGCCUUUUAACGUAAGCCGGACAACCCCAAAUCCUAAUAUGAUUAAGAUUUGUGCUUUUGCCAUGCCAUAUCUCAUAUGGCGUUUGUGAAACUGAUUUGGAAGGUACUCUAUUAAGCAAGUAAGCUGCUUUAUAUAGAGCGUAUCCCCAGAAUGUUACUGGUAGAUUAGCAGAACUCAUCAUAGAACGAACCAUGUUCAUCAAGGUUCGAUUUCUCUAUUCAGAAACUCCGUUAUGCUGAGGACUUCCUGGUGGAGUCCACUGUGAUACUAUUCCACACUCUUUGAGAUAAUCUAGGAACUCGUUACUCAGAUAUUCACCGCCUCGAUCCGAUCUUAGGGUCUUUAUCUGUUUCCCAGUUUGCUUCUCAACUUCAUUCUUGAAUUCUUUGAACCUUUCAAAGGAUUCUGACUUGUACUUCAUAAGAUACACAUAGCCAAACCGAGAGUGAUCGUCGGUGAAUGUGAUAUAGUAGGAGAAGCCUCCUCUCGACGUAGUAGACAUAGGUCCACAUACGUCAGUGUGGAUUAACCCUAGAAUUUCAGUGGCUCGCUCUCAUUUUCCAGUAAAUGGAGAUUUGGUCAUCUUCCCUUUCAAGCAACAUUCACAAGUACCCAUCCGGUCAUUACCUAAUGGGCGGAUAUAUCCGUCUUUCGACAUCUUGCGAAUCUUAUCAAGGUUCACAUGUCCAAGUUUAAGAUGCCACAUCUUUUCAUGGUUAACUUCUUCUCUAGCCCUUUUGGGUUUUGAGGUAUUCCUGCUUUCAAUACAGUGCGUCCCACUAUUCGUCUCUAGGUGAAAAAGUCCCUCUAUCAUAUUACCAUGAGAGAUAAUACGACCCGUUCAAGUAUAAAGUGCAACUCAUUUUGUCAAACAAUACUGAGUGCCCAUCUCGUAAAAGCUUAGAGAUAGAAAUCAAAAUUCUUUAUACAUGAAGGAAAAUAUAAACAAUUUUUAAGUUCCAGGACUUCCCCAGAGGGUAGGUUAAGCAUGUAGGUGCCUAUUGCUUUUGCAGAGAUUUUAGUGCCGUUCCCAACUCGCACAACCAUCUCCCCAUUGCGCAGUGACCUGCUCCCUGCUAGUCCCUGCAACGUAUUGCAAAUAUGUUGACUAGCGCCUGAAUCAAAUAUCCAGGAAUUGGAGCUCACUGUAAAAGCACUCUCUAUGACAGAAAUAGUCUCUUCAAAAGUUCGUGUCAUAAGGCUCGCAAUGCGCACCCUGUAUUUCUUUUUCCAACGUUCAUCCUUUCCACAAUGAAAGCAUGUUCCUUUGGAUUUCUUUGCCUUCUUCUUAUGCAAACCUUUUCCUUGUGUUUGCAUUCUCACUCCCACUGUCCCUUUUGAAACCUUUUUCAAAUUUACAGCACAUGUCAAUCAUCUCUUUCAAAGAAUGAUCGAAUCUAUUUCACUUUAUAGUUUACAAUAAACUUAGUGAAAUCAUCCGAGAGAGAUGCAAGGAAAAAGUCUUGGGCCAUUUUCCCAUCGAUGGAAGUUCCUAAACUUUUAAGAUCUUUAAAUAUCUUUUCCAUCUUUUGUCCAUGUUUAUGGACCGAUGCCCCCUUUGCCAUCUUGGCAUUCAUUAGACUACAAACAUUUGAGAAUCGUACAUUACUAGUCUCAAUGUCAUGCAUCUUAUGCAAACUUUCAACCAUGGCACAAGAAGUGUUCAUGUGCUUAUGUAGCUUCAUAAGCUCCUCACUAAGUGAAGUGAGGAUUAAGCAUUUGGCUUGUAAGUCAUCCUCAUAGUGUCUAACAUAAUUUUGACACUCCUCCUUUGAAGCUAGUUUCGUAGGAGGUACAUGAGGAGGGGAUUGCUUAAGCACAUACAAUAUGUCUUUCACCUUUGAGACAUUCUCAAUAUGGCGAUACCAAGCAAGGAAACGUUGGCCCUUAAGGCCCCUUUUGUCAAGUAUAAUGGUGGGUAUAAUUUUAGGCAUGUCGUUCACUACAUAACAUAACAGAAAUCGUAUUAGAUUGUUUGUUUUAAAACUAUUUGAUUGGGUCUUUGAAUCAAAUAGUACCACCCACUAUUUUUGGCAAAUUCCACAUCCCUCAAUAGAAUUCGAGAGUUAUAUUGAACUCUUAGCGGGUUAUGGGAGACUCACCAUUACCAAGCCCACCUCAGAAGAAAAUCAUAUUGGCUAGCAACAAUAAUGAUGAGAGAAUAACGCAUUAUUCAUUUACAACCUUUUGUAAUUACCCAUCUAAUUUGGCCUCUAGAGAACGAUGCCUCAGAAGAAUAUCAUAUUGGCACCAUUGCACUUAGUUAAGUCGUUCCCACCAUGCUUGUUCAAGUAGGGGUUCAAGAAUGGCCUCAGAAGAAUAUCAUAUUGGCCAUACUCGUUGCCUACUUUCACUUCAUCAUAUGUUUAUGGGCUUCUCCUGAAUGUAAGCACAUACUUUGCAUACCCCAGAACUGGACGAAUACGGUGUAUGAGUCACAAACGAUUGAAGCCCACCACGGUGGAAGGCCUACGAAGAGAUGUUCAAAACAUCUCUCGCUUAUCAACUUAAUAUUUGUUUUGAGGGAGUAGUUUUGGGCUACAUCAAAACAUUUUAAUCACAUUAAAAGAACUUGGGCCUAUCACAACUAUUGGUCCAAGUUAAUAUGAAUUAGUAGCAUAUAAUACUCCCACUGUUUCGUUGAAACAAGCGAGACUAUAUGGAACUACUACCGAAUGCAUUGCAUCCUCAUAUGGACUAUAUAGUCAUAUUAGGUUUUAGGAUGAUUAUGAACCGAUUAAUUUGAUCCAACACGAGCCUUGUGUUGGACCUUGGGUUUAAGGUAGAUAGUUGUUGAUUUUAGUUACGCGUUUAAUCUAAUUAAACCGUUAUUUCCUAUUGGGCGUUGGACCCAACUAUUCCAUUUUGCAUACACAUAAACAAAAGGAAUACAUGAAAUAAAAAUAAGGGCUUAUGCCCUUUUACAACAUAAAUCAAAUGAUGGACUUAUGUCCAUUUACAACAAAUUGAAUUAAUCAAAUUACAUUCAAAUCUACACUACUUAAAACCCAAACAUUCAUAAUGUAUAUCGGCCAAUCACAUAGCUCAAUUAUCGUGGCCCUUGGUUCAUAAUCACCCUUUUCUUAAUCAAUCAUAUUAACUAAGAAAACAACUUUAAACAAUUGGUUUUUGGAUCCAUAGAAUUGAUUUAAAUGGAACUAAAUGAAAUGAAAAUCCAAUUCUCAUUAAAGAGACAAAACAAUUUUGUUCUCAUUUUAUUUGGGCCAAAAGGAAACUAUGACCACAACAAUUGGGCCAUAAUGCAAAUACAAAAACUUUUGGGGUCACUUUGAAAAAACACAAAAGUCCACAACUUCAUGUAAUUUCAACUAGAACCCAAAAUUUCAUUAAUGUAAAAACAUCAUUAAAGGAUCAAAACAAUUUGUCCUUUAGAGUUUUUAAGCCUAAACGUAAAAACGUGAACUUUUGGGCCAAAGUGCAAAUACACAAAAGUAUCAAAACUUUAUGUAAUUGCAUAAAAGACCCCAAAAGUAACCCCACUAGGGGGUGGCCGGUUUUUAGAGGUGUGAAUGAGUGUGAAAGGGUUUUAUGCAAGUUGUGCAUGCAUGUGCUAAAUGCAAGUGGAUUUUGGUGGGUGAGUUAUUGGUGAAAUUGAUGGUUUGUAAGAAAAAUUAAAGUUUAUGACAAAACAUUAAAACCAUUUCAUCACAUCUCACCAAUACCAUCAACCAUCAAAACAUAAACCAAAACUUUAUGAAAAACAUAAAACUUUUGAAUCAAAACUUCAAACCUUUUUGUUCUUGGCAAGAACUUCAAGAACAUUUGAAGAACACCAUGAAAACUCAUAAUAGCUCCAUGGAUGUUUUCAUUCACCAAAACUCAAUUUUUCACCUCUCAAAAGAGGGCUAAUAUCCUAGGGUACUUAGGGGUUCCAAAAGUCACCUUAAAACCAUUUUAACAAGACAAACAUGAACCCAAAAAGUCACCCUAAGGAUUUGGCCGAAUUUCCCAAAACUCAUGGCACCAAAUUUUAGUUCCAAUAUUCAUGCUUAAAUGAAAUAUAUCUACAACAUUUGAGAUGCUAAAUUUUCUAGCAAAAUUUAUAUAUUCAAAAGCAAGAACAAAGCUUGUAACAUUUACAACAUUUAAAUCACAAAAUAUGAACAUCACAAAACCCAAAAGGAUUCACCAUACACUAGGCCUAGGCUCUGAUACCACUUGAAGGAAAAAAUUUGUCCUAGCUAAGAACAAGUAUGAACAUUUGAAUACACAUGCAAGCUAUUAACACUUUAAAGUAGGCAUGCAUCCAAAAACAAUUCAUAAAACCCUAGACUUUCAAAGCCUAGUAUAUGGUGAACCAAAAUAAACUCUUUAACAACAUUAAAGAGAAAGAAGAAUUUAGUGAUUCUUUACCCUUGAAGCUCAUCCUUGAUUACACAAGGGAUUCACCCAAGUGGAGGGCCUUCAAGUCACCUCCAAGCUCCUUGAAUCCUCCUUGUGUUUUCCUCCCUUUAGUGCUCCUUUGAUGAUUUGAGGAAAAAGGAUUUGUUCUCCAAAACACCAAAAGCUUGAUGUCUCUAAGUCUCUUCACCAAGGUUGUAUCUUGUGAAGAUGAAUUGGAUGACUAAGGGAAGAAGAGAUUGCUAGAUGUCCCUCCCCUUAGUGGCCGGCCUCCUUAGAAGAAAAUGGAGAAAAUGUUUCACCCAAUUUCAACAAGAAAAAACCCUAAUUAGAAAAUAGCUAUAAAGUUGCUUUUAUAACCUUUUCUUUGGUGAGUGGCAAACUUGUAAUAAAGCAAACUUUGCCCAUUCACCCUAAUGGCCGGCCCUCCUUGGUGUUAUUGGGCUAUUUGCCCAUUUUGUUUAGUUGUCAUACAACUUGAACAUAAUGGGCCUUUUGGACCAAAACGAUUUUGGGCCCCGAAACCCAAAACCAACAUAUAAGCCCAAUACGAACCUUUCGUAAAAUUAAUUAACUAAUUAAUUAAUCUUGACCAUUAUUCAAUUAAACCAUUUAAUUGCUUAUCCAUUUCAUAUAAUUUCUUCACAUACAUCCUUACUCGGUGUACGAUCCAUUAGGUUCCAAUUAGGGAGGCAGUGGGCGAUGUUACUCUUAACUAUCGAUUUGUGAAUUGAAACCACAUUUCAAUUCUCCCUUUAAUGAUUAGUGUUACCUAAUCAUUUGGGCUUCCACAAACCAUGAGUGACACCUAGCAGUAUGUCAUGGUUACCCAAGCUAAGUAGAAUUGGUUGGAGAACCUAUCCAGUUACAACUACAAUGCAAUACGGUCAUUCUCUAAUACAAUACUCUUAAUCACAUUGUUUAAGUGAUAGUUUGUUUCAUGUCUACUAUCCAAUGUGAUACUUUCCUAUAUGAUUCCCUUGAAUAUGAUUUGGAACAAACUUCCUAAGUCAUAUUCAUUUGCUUUGGCCAAAGACUUUAGAAUCAUAUCUUAGAGUAUUCUCCCUCCACCAUGGAAGGUUAGAGAUCCCUUGUUGUGCAUUCAUAUGCCUACAUGACUAGAUAGCUUGACCCCAACAAUGCCGUGGACACUCCGAUGGAAUGCCGUUUGACAUGAUCAAAGAUCAAGGACCUAACCAUUAGACAUCUAUGAUGCCUCAGGUCAAAGGACUACUUUGCAUAUUGUAACUUUAGAGUUCAUACAUGACAUGUAUGUUUGAACUCUCUUUUGAUCGUAGUUCAGUGUACUCGAUUACUCUUUCGAGCACCUAUGUGUUUGUCUUAGUGUCCAACACCAAAUGACUUGAGACUAGUCAUACUCACGCUUGAGUCAACACAACACAUACUAACCUUAGCGGAUUGUCAAUGCCCAAUUGGCAAUCCUAUGGCUAGGAACGUUUUAGGAAUGAACAUAAGAGAAAGGUCUCGAUAAUCUAACUCACUUAGAUCACUUAUCUCUUAGAACAAAUACAUUCCUUGGAUUCUCUUAUUGCUUAAACACAUGAUACAAUAAAUAGUGAUUAACAAUAAGAUUUGCCCUUCAUUAAACAUAUAAAAGUUUAAUACAUUAAGUAUUCCAAAAAACUAUUACAUCAAAUGAGUGGCUUUGUGGGCAUACUUCCAACAUUCCAUUCAUGAGAUCAUAUAUAUACAUGAAUUAAUAAUUCUAGAAAUUGCUUCUUUGUUGAAAAACAUAUGUGAGUACUAGUUUUCAUGUUUACUCAAUCUUCUCACAUAUACCUAGUAUAGGGAGUGUAGUCAGAAAUUAUUGUGUGAAAAUAAGAGUGUAUCUAGUAAGGAAUUGAGGAAAUUCUCUAAGGUAUGUUACCACAUUCAAAAUGUUGUUUAAUUGAUUAAAUGUGAGCUAGUGAAUGGUGGCUAUGAUUAAGUAUGCUCGAGGGUAAGGAUUGCUUAAAUCUAUGUGAGUGGUGAUCUUUGGCAUGUCAUGUUUCAUUAAAAAUCCCUGAGGCAAAUGUUGGAAGGUCUAGGUUAUGUUUUGUUUGUUUCGUUUGUUUUGUUUUGCUCGAAGACUAGCAAAAGCUAAGUGUGGAGGAAUUUGAUAGGUGCAUAUUUAUGCGACUUAGUUAGCUUGUUCUUGUGCAUUUAUGUUGUUAUUUCUUUGUCAAUUAUGUAUUUUAAGCUAUUUUCGUGUGUUUGUAGGUCCUAAUAACAAAGUUGGCAAGAAAGUGCAUUUUGGAGCAAUUUUGGGCUGAAAUGGAUUGCAUGCAUAUGAAGCAAGUUGGAUGGACAUUUUUGGUGUUUUAGAAAGGGUUUAAACAUAUGCAAAAAUAUGAACAAUGAAGUUGAAGUGUGGAAGUCUGCAGAUACAUACACUUAAGGAACAAUUUGAAAGGAAAAGAAGUGAAAGAUGCCAUUUGUUGGAUUGCUUUACAAGUUGUAUUCACAUUUCCAGCAACUACAAACAUAAUUGCAAGCUGAAAUAAUGCAUAGCAUGUGUGUGAAAGUGUCUAGCAGCAGGUGCAUGUGUGAAGAGGUGUAAAGUGGCCAAAAGUUGGUGUUUGCAAGAUGAAAUGAUGAAAAACAUGUGUGUGAAAGUUGUCUAAUAGCUAGUACAUGUGGAAGUGAGUUGGAACACAAGGCAAAGAGUGCAGAAAAUCAAGUUUGCAGGCACAUGGACAACUCCUUUGCCGUGCACCCCAUCCAUUGUUGCAGCAUCCUUUCACCUUUCCUUUGUCUACCAUGUGCACAAUAUUUUUGUCCACUCAAUGCACUUAUGGCUGCACACACCACUCCAUUUUACCCCCAUGCCGUGCAUCAUGACUCCACUUUCACCCUUGAAUCAUUUCAGCACCACUUCAUUGAAUCAUUGCUGCACACACCACUCCAUUUUCUCCUACAAAUGCCAUGCACUUCCUCUAUAAAAGGAAGUGUGUGUAACAGCCAUAGUGUGCAGAUUUUGAUCCAUCAACACUAUCCACCCUUCACCAUAACUCACCUAUAUCCAUCCACCACCAUAAUUUACCACUCAUCCAUCAAACCAUACCUUGUGCCGUAACAAAGAGAAGAAGGAGAACCUUUGGACGUGUUUGCCAUUCAAGUUGGAUUGUUGGAGCGUUUUUAGGUGUAUUCAUUCUUUGUUUUUAAUGUUUAAGUUUAUGUAUCUUUGUUUUGCGAACAUGAGGAACUAAACCCAUCUUGGCUAGGGGUGAUUUCAAAGCCAUGAUUAUGUGUGCAAUAUGAGUUGAUAAAUUCCAGUUAUUAAUUCUUGAAUCAUGAAUGCAAUUAGCUUAACUAUUUGAUUGAUAACUUAUUUGUGUUUGUUGAUUGAGGAUCGAUACUUAAUUAGCAUGCAUAAAUCUGAUGCUAGAAUAUAAGGGAGUUUCACAUAAUCGUUACAAACUUAUAUUUACAAGUAGUGGAGGUCGCUUAUAAACGAUCGCAUUAAGUUUAAUUCCUAGCAUGAGCGACAUGAUAUCAUAGUUGCAAGUGCUUUGUCAAUGCUUAUGAUUUUCAUUAAACGUAAUGAUCUUUGAUUGUAUCUCUAUUAUGAUGUCAUGUAAGGAACUUUUGAAGAAUGUUUUGGGUUGUCGAAUGAUGUCAUCCAAUCCAAUAAUACAAGGAAAAUAUGAGGAUUAACUAGUGAUGUCAUGGUUAAUUUGGGGCAUUGUCGUUUAUAAUUCAAUGAAGGAGUAACUGGAAAUCAAGUUGUCUGCAUAAAUGGCAUGUGUGGAGAAAGAGCCUCUAGCUAGCUUAUCAUCCAUCUAAUUCAACCAAAUUCGUCCAAAAUCUGUCUUAAGUUUUAGUUACUUGUUUUUAUUUUAAAUUCGUCCAAAACUCAAUCCCCCUUUACUUUAGUGUGUCUAAUUAGUUAGAAUCUAUUAGGUUGUGUUUUUAAGUGUUUUGAUUCAAGUAAAAGUCAAUUUUCGUCCAAAGUCAUUCCUAGUGUCUAGUUUAAGUUUAAUUGGUUGUUUUAAGCUGUUUUGAGUAUUUUAAGUUUGCUUUGAGUCUUGUGAGUCUUGUUAAGUGUUUUUAAGUUUAGUUUUAUGUUUUUGAGUCAAUUUAGAAGUUAUUAGCAAGCCUUCCUAAUCCCCGGCCUAGAACGAUCCCUACUUAUACAUAUACUACAAUUGUCAAAAGAUGGUUUUAAUUUGUGUGUUAUGUUAAUUUUCGCAUCACAUUCGCCUCAGGGAUUUCCAAUGGAACACGAUACAUUAAAAAUCACUACGCACAUAGAUUUUAGUUGUCCCUACCCUCGAGGGCAUACUUAAUCACAGUCACUACUCACUAGCUCGCAUUUAAUCAAAUUAAAACAUGGUUUUGAUGUAGUAACAUGCCUUAGAGAAUUCCCUCAAUUCCUCACUGGAUGUACACUCUAUUUUCACACAGAUUUUCUAACUACACUCCAUACACUAGUUAUAUGUGAGAAGAUUGAUGUAAACAUGUAAACUAACACUCACAUAUGUUAUGAUCAAAGAAGGCAAUUUUUGGAAUUAUCAAUGCAUGUAUAUAUAUAUGAUCUCAUGAGCGGAAUGCCACUACUUAGACGUGGGAUCCAUGGAUACCAUAUGCUCAUACCAAUCCCAAACUCCACAUAUUGAAACACACAACAACCAAGAUAAAAUUCUAAGGGUUGUAACAGGGCUAAGGGUAUUGGCUAACAAAGAAAGGUAAGGAUAAACAAAGGUUCUUAAAGCAAUAGUAAGCAAAGCAAUGAAAUCAACUUAGAAUUCACUCUUGAAUGCAGCAAAUAACUUGAAACACUAAGGGGAUUUCGUACAACUUAGGGUCAUAUUCAACUUUUUGGACCCUUUCUUCAAUAACCAAUACUUGUGAGUUCAUUCUUACUUAUUUUGAACUCUUUUUCUUUUCUUUUUUUCCACUUUUUCUUCUUUUUCAUGUUUUUUUUUCUACUUGUGUACAUAACCUUCCCCCACACUUGAUUUCUACAAUAUGUUUGAUCAAAAGGAAUUCCUUCUAAGUCAUGCUCCACUAUACUUUAAGAACAAGGGUAUGGAUAGUCCUAUUCUAGGCUAGGUCGGGAUAAUGUGGCUAACAAAGAAAAUAGGCUAAAACAAGGGUAUGGAUAGUCCUACUCAAAGGGGUUAAACCUACAAUACAUAUGCAAAGGAUUAAGGCUUUUUGGCUUUGGUGGUAACUACUAAACAACUUCAUCUUGUUAUAUGUUAUACACUCAAUUUUAAGCUUUGAAUGAAACGGGCAUGAGUUCUAAUAUUUGGAACUAAAAUGAUAAAAUGCAUUCUAAGUAGCAACCAAGCAAAGAAUGAUCAGAUCAUGCAACGACUUUAGAAAAUAAGAAAUCACAGAUUAAUAACUCUCUAAAUAAUGUUUAGGCUCAAGUCUCUCAGGAUUGUAGCAUUAGUUUGAGUUCCUUCCUUCAAGCAUGUUACAAAAACUGAUAUUUUCCUUUGUGAUUACAUGUGAAUUCGUUAAUGACAACUACAACCAAGAAUAAACCAAAGAGCAUAUCAAACUUCCAUUCAUGUUUUUAAUUUUUUUUAACAGUCAUGCAAUAAAAACCAAAUCCUCAUCAUUGUGUUGGAACGUAUUCUAAGACACAAACACACAAAAAUGACUCUAAAAUGACUCUUUUUGGGUUUUUCAAAACGUUUUCUACUUUUUUUUUCAAAUUUUUGUAUUUUCUGCUAAAGACACACUAAAACACAUCAACACACACUACAAACACUUAAAAAUAGUGAGAAACAACUCUAGUGGUGCUAGGUGGUGAAAUCCUACGAAUUUUCAACAAAAACACUUGUUUACCCCCCCCCCCCCAGUACUUAAACCAAACAUUGUCAUCAAUGUUUCAAACAUAGACUCACACAUAAGCAAGCAAACGACACAAUGAACAAACAUGACAAACAUGGCAAAGUAAAAGCAAGAAAGAGUAGAGUUUAAGAACGCAAAUCUGGUUAUGAUGCCAUAGCUUCCUAGUUCUUCUUUAUUCGCAUGGAUUGUCUCCUAAGAAGCACUUGCUUUAACGUCUUCCAGCUGGAUGAUACAUCCAUUCAAACUCCCCUAGGUCCCAUGGCACGGAGUUGAUCUUUGAAUGGGAGGUGAUACUUGAAAUGAUCUAGGAAUGGUUUAAAUUCUGUGUGCUCCGACAUGAAAUCAAGAAUAAACACCCCUUCGAAAGUUGUAGGACUAGAAAAUUCAACCAGAUUUGGUGUUGUGAGAGUUAUGACUUGUCCCGUGUCAUAAAAUCCAACUUCUUUGGGAAUUGUCGUCUCAAGUACAUCCCCUUUGAUGAAUUCUUGAUAUUCCCCAGCCACUUAUUUCUCUUGAAUCAUUCUUCUUGUUAUACAAAGUUCUUUGAACAAUUCAACACAUUCUGGAACUUGAUUUGUUGUACCAAGAAUUUGGAUAUUACUUUGCACCCUUGGAAGGGCUUCCAAUAUGUCUUUUUCACUUUCUUCUUCCUUGGAAAUCAUGAACCUGCAAGGGAUAGGGACAUUUAGUGGAAUGGGGUUAGAAAGAAUUGAAUUUGGAACAACCUUACUUGAAUUGGAUGAUGUAGGAGCCUUAGAAGGCUGCGGCAAGGGUUGUUCUUCCCAUGCUGUGGAUUUGUCUUCCUCAUCUUCUUCAAGCAUUAACUGUUUGUCUACUUCUGUGUUAUGUUUAGACAUCUUUAGUUCAACUUCAACCUCCAUACUACUUCCUAAAGUGAUGGCUUCAGCGAUUUCAAAAUCUCCCCAUGGAUUGACAAUGGUUGAGCUGGAGAGUUCACUUUGUUUUUAAAUUUGCCCCAUGAAUUCCAUCAUCUCUCCAAGUUUUCAAUUCGCUCAUCUCCUUAGCUCAAUUUGCUAUUCGAUUAUUUUGAUUUUGUAAUCCCUACAAUACAGAAGUUAGUAAUUGAAUAGCUUGAUCAUUAUCAAAUAGCGAACCUGAAUUUGGUUGGGCAUAUUGUUAUAGGGGAGACUGUGGUAGUGCAUAUGGCCAUUUAUAGAACUCCUCAGAUGGCUGCCAAUCUUCUUGUUGAACUUGUUGAGGUUCCUUCCACAUAGAAUUUGAAUAAUCUCUCAAAUCUGAAUUGUAAGUGUUGGAAAACAAGUUGUUUCUUGAUUGAUUAUGGCCUUGAUAACCCCAAGCACCUCUAUUCUCAUUGAAUUGAGGACAUUGAUGAGUUUGAUAUCCUUACCUAUAGGACACACCAAAUGUAGGGACACUUUGCAUUGUGGUACCAAUAUAUCACGCUACCAUAUCGCUUAACUCCAAACAAAAUCUAUCAAAAGCACAACACCCACAAGAACAAAAGAAUCAGGGAACUGCCGAUAGAAAACGGAGCCUUCGCUGAAAGGCAAAUCCCUUCCAAUGAUAUGUAGGGAGUCCUUUAUGGACCCAAUUGCAACUUUGUUGUCUGCACGAAGGAAAUUCAUGGAGAACUCAUCUCCUAACGCCCAGAGGCAGCGUUGAGGGGGAGCGAAAUGUGCAAUGGCAUAGGACCCCUAAAUUUAAAGGGCCACAAAAAAAUUUUGGUAUCUUAUAUUUAUAUGUAAUAAUGUUAUAUAUUAAAAAAAUAUUUUUAUUAGCACUUUAAAAUCUUAUUAUGCACUUUUAUAAGUGUUAUUUUUUUUUCUUUUGAGAUAUUAGAAAUGCCAAUAGCAACACCUUAAAAACGAUUUUCUUUUCAAUUAUAUUAUAUAAUAAUGCUAUAUAUUCAAGUGAAACUUUAAAGUUAGAGUUUUUGAAGCUUUUUUUUUUCUUUCUUUGGUUGCUUAAGAUUGAACUGUUUUUGAUUAUUUAGAGAAAGUUAUGUUUGUAACUAUUUUUACUUAUUUAAUGAUACUUGUAAACCUAAAUGUUGUUUUGAUUUAAGUUAUUAUUUUCUAGUACCAAUAUAUUGUCCUACUUAAAAAAAAAUUUAAAAUAAAAAAACUAUCUUAAAAAAGGGCCCUUUUAUAAAUGUCGCACAUGGCCCCCGAAAUCUCAUAGACGGCUAUGCUAAAGCCCCACCAUGGGUUUAUUGCCAAAAGUGAUCGCUGGUGUAAAUUCUUACAUUAUAUCAUCUUUUCCUUAGAGCUACCUCAGUGAUUUGAUUCCCUUUCCCAAAGAUAUGUAGGCAAUCCUUUACGGAUUCAAUCACACCCUCUUGUCAAACAAUCCCAUUCCCUUUAUCAAUAAAGAAGUUCUGGAAUUUAUCUGUCUUAUUUAGUUACAUUCAAUGUUUUGUCAAUCUAUAUGUCUUCAAAAACUUUGCACAGUUGCAAAUUUGACAAAAUUCAAAAAUAAACACCCCUUAAUGUUUCUUUUUGCUUUUUGAACAUCUUAUUUGAAAUAAUCUUUUUGACUCAUUUGAUCGAUUGGACUAACAAUAACGGAAGUGCAACAAAGUCAAGGAACGGAAGUGAACAUUUGAGUCAAUUACCAAAACAAAUGUGUAGGUAGUUGAAUCACGGAUGAAAGUAAGCAUAUUCUAUUCUUUUUUGGUACAAAAAUUAAUCAAACUUUAUUAUAUUAAGAGGAAAUUAUAAUUCCAUUCAACUUUUCUAUAUCUUCUGGACAAAAUAGUUGACACACCCCGACCUAAAAUCAAGGCAUGCUGGCCGUCACAUGAGGGUGACGUAGCCAUGUGCACAGUACGGAUGCAAUAAGGAUAUGAAAUAUACAAAUAAAUAAGAACUGAAAGCUAAUUAAUGUGCACUAAUAAGCAGAAAGUGCUAGGAAUGAGAUACAAGUGUAAAUACACCUAAUCAGAGCAUAGAAGUCUAGGUGCAGUCUAGUAGGACAAGUACUAGUUAUACAGUACCAGAAGAAGUCCUACGAAUAUUAUACUUUGUCAGAACUGCCAAGAUCCACAAAUGCCACCAAUAGCAAGUCUACCUAAAACCUGGAGGGGAGCAAAAUAGAAAAUGUGAGUGGGCAAAAACAAAGCUUUUCAAAAUCAUUUCAUUUACCAAAUGCUCUAACCCCUCGCCGUAAAACAUGUAUAAUUUUCCCAGAAAUGAAAUAUAAAUAUAUAUAUAUAUAUAUAUAUAUAUUAGGUUCUAAAAAGCGCUAGGUGCUAGUCAGGCGGCGGGUAGGGGCCUAACGCCUAGGCGGCUAGGCGGGGGCCUAGGCGGCCUAGGAGGAUUUAGGUAAAUUUAUUGUAUAUUGUGUAAAUAAGUAGAGAUUACAUAAAGUACAUGUAUCCAACAAGCUUACAAUUUGAAAACACAUUAACCAUGUAAUCAAUCUGAGUGUUUUUGGAUGAUAUAUGUAUCUAACAAGGCAACAAGUAUCCAUCAAGCUUACAAUCAAAAUGAAUGUUCUUGGAUAAUACCUGUAUGCAAUAAGCAUCCAACAAACUUCCAAUUUAAAAGCACAUUGUCAUUAAGCAUAUAAUCAUUGUCAUUGAGCAUAUAAUCAAAAUGAGAGUUCUUUUCUUGAGUAUCCAACAAACUUACAAAUUAAACAUUGUCAUUAAGCAUAUAAUCAUUGUCAUUGAGCAUAUAAUCAAAAUGAGAGUUCUUUUCUUGAGUAUCCAACAAACUUACAAAUUAAAAGCACAUGAAAGUUGUUUUCCUGAGUAUCCAACAAACUUACAAAUUAAAAGCACAUUAAGCAUAAAAUCAAAAUGAGUGUUCUUGGAUAAUACAUGUAUCCAACAAGUUCACAAUUUAAAGUUUAAACACAUUACACAUAAAAUGCAAAAUGAAAGGGAUAAGGAUAUAAGAUACUUGCAAAGUUUUAGAGCUAGGCCUAAAUCUCUUCUUCUCCACAUCCUUCCAAGAUUCUCUCCGUGUCAGACUCAAACUCAAUUUCUUCUUCAUCAUCUCCUUCUUCUUCUGUGUCCUCAUCCCAUACAAAAUCUUCUUCAUGAAGCUCUCUUACUUCAACAUUUCUAGAACUCCUCCUAGGCUCUAGGGAACUAUCCACCUCUAAUUGCUCUCCAUCCAUUCCCGAACCAAGCUCAGUUUCUUCAUCAACACCCUCCACAAUCCAUCCUUGCGCCAUACUAGCUUCAUUAGCGAGUAGUAUAUCCACUUUCUUCUCUUUCUCUCUUUUCUUCUUGUUCAUGAUCCUCGCAUUGAAUUGGACAUAGACCAAAUUAUUCAACCUUGUAGUAUCUAGUCUAUUCCUUUUCUUUGUAUGUAUUCCCCCAAAAGUGCUCCAAUUUCUCUCACACCUGGAUGAACUUGUAGUCAAUGAGAGAAUUUUGAUAGCAAUUCUUUGCAAAUUAGGCACACCAUUGCCAUAAGUAGACCACCAUGAAGCUAAAAAAGUACAAAAUACAAAAUUUGAAUUAGACUAGUAAAGAAAAACAAUUAGAACUAGACUAGUAAAGAAAAACAAUUAGAAUCAUACUCGGAUCAUAGUUGUCAUCAUUCUCAACGCAUCCAAUCUCUGCCAAAUGUCUUCCAAAUCCACCAUUUUUUUUCUUGUACUUCGGCAUCUCUAUAUUAAUAACUCGGUUUUGGACUUCAAAGUUGUCGGGGAAGAACUUCUCAACAUAAGUAAACAUGGCGUCCAUGACUAAUGAAUCAUGUUGAAUGCUUGGAUCUUUGAAGAAGUAAAAAGGAUUCAAGAAAUAGGCCUCCAUAUGUAAUGGACCAUCAAGCCAAUCAUGAGCUUUUUCAUCAAUAAUUUGUAUGAUUGGUCUAUAAUGGGCCUUCUUAUUUUUCAAUGCCUCUUUGAUCUCAUUCCUCACUUUUUGUAGCUCCCUGUACAAAAACCCCAUUGAUGGCUUUUUAUCCCCAUCCACAAGUUGAAGAACCUUAAACAAUAGUUCAAACACUCUCAAGUAAAGUAAGACCCCAUUCCAAAAUUGUGCACUCACCAUGGUAGCAUAUGCCGCUUUCCCCUUUGUACUCUUAGAAUGUUUGCAUUUUUCUCAUUCAUCACUAGCAACCAUAAUCCUCAAGUCCUUUUUCUUAUCAACCAAGCUUUGCAAAGUUAGGAAAGAAGUUGCAAAUCUUGUGACUCCGGGUCUCACUAUGUCUCUUUUCUUUGUAUACUUUCUCAUCAAUGCUCAUGUUUUAUGAUGAGCAUAAAUGAAGAUAGCAAAAGCCUUUGCCUUUUCAAUCACUCCUUUGAACCUAGGUAGGUUACCAAUUUCUUGAAGCAUGAGGUUCAACGUGUGAGUGGCACAUGAUGUCCAAAACAUGUGUGGCCUCUUGUCCAACAUCUUGUUUGCCGCUGCCAUAUUGUUAGAAGCAUUGUUGGUUACCACUUGAACAACAUUUUGUGGACCAACUUCUUCGAUGCACUUGUCAACAUAUUCAAAUAUGUAUUCCCUGGUGUGUGCUUCACUAGAGCAUUCCUUGGAAGAAAGAAAUAUUGUGCCUUCUUUGCAUGUCACACACAAAUUCAUUAUACUUCUUCUUUUUCGAUUGGUCCAAGCAUUGGUCAUAAUUGAGCAACCAUUCAAAGCCCAUUUUUCUUCAUGCUUCUUAAGAGAUUGUUUUACCCUUUCCACCUUUUCUUUCAAUAAAGGCUCUCUCAAAUCAUAUUGACUUAGAGGUUGGUAUCCCGGGCCAAAUUGACCAACUGAUUCCACAAAGCAUUUGAAGCUAUCAUUAUCAAUGGCAUGGAAAGGAAUACCGGCUUCGUAGACCCAUCGAGGCAGAUAUUGAUCCACCUGAUGUGUUCUAUCCUUCCAAAUUGCAUCAUGAAGAUUUUGUUGUCGCUUACUCUUGCUUCCAUCAUUUGAUUUUGAAGAACCAGGAUUGAUGGAGAAUGCAAACCUAUCAAUAACCCCAAGAGUUCGCAACCUUUUCCUUGACUCAACAACUUCAAUAUCUUUAUCUUCUUCAAUAUGUGGACCUCUUCCCUCACUUCCUCAUAGUAGUGCAUGUUUCUUUCUUUCUUCUUCUUUUUUGCUUCAUUUAAUGCGGCUUUACAUUUUGCUAUAUCUUCAUCCAAAGACUUUGUGCAUCCAGCUACAUUUCCCUUGAUAUGGGCUAUGUGUUGUUUCAUUCUAUAAAUGCCACCACUGAGUACUUUUUUACACAACUUACACUUCACCUUAUCCGAGUUUGAAGGAUCCGCCAACACCCCAUAUUCCCAUCCCACAUUGUUUGAAGCAUGCUUUAAUGGAUUAUCUGAUUGGGUGGACAACAUUGGAUUAGAUGCUCCGGAUGAUACAGUGCCCGCCAUCUAAAAAAGCAGAAAAUCAUUUAACUAUAAGUACAUGAAAAGAAGGCCCUCCAUCGAGAAGAAUAGAAUCAUAGAGUUUGUAGAAAUUAAAUAUAUUAAUCCAAAUCCUACAAGAAGCAGAAUUAAAGCACAACACAAGCAAAGGCAACUAGAAAAAGAGUAGUUAGCAUGUUUAGAUUAGUUGUCAAAGCAGCCAACUUUUCUUAUGCUACUUCGAAACUAAAUCCACAGUGAUAAAAAUAAAAGUAGAAGAAACAUCAAACUUACAAUGAAGGAGGCUUAUGAUAGGAGCAUAUUUAUGCGACUGAGUUAGUUUGUUCUCAUGUAUUUAUGUUGUUAUUUCUUAGUUAAUUAUGUAUUUUAAGCUAUUUUCGUGUGUUUGUAGGUCCAUAGGCCUUAUAAAGCAAAAAGAUGCAUUUUGGUGCAUUUUGGAGCAGUUUUGGGCCUGGAAUGAAUAGCACGUGGAUGGACGAAAUUGAAGACUAAAAAGGCUAGGAAUGUGUUAAAGAGAAAGAAGAAUUAAUGUAAAAAGGACAAAGAGCUCAGCCACAAAGGGGUUUCACUCCACCAUUCACCUUUCCAUCAUUGCCGUGCACCACCAUUGCACUCCCUUUGGAUUCCUAUGCCGUGCAUCAUCAUCCAUGUUCCCUCCAUUGACUCAUUUGUUGCAUCAUUUCACCUCCCUUUCCUACCAUGUGCACAAUCAUUCAUGUUCCCUAGCUGCAACACCACUCCAUUUUACCCCCAUGCUUUGCAUCAUCGCUUCACUUUCACCUUUGAAUCAUUUCAAACACCACUCAUUGCACUCAAUUGCUACACCAUUCCUUGUUCCCUCCAUCAUUUCAGAUUUCAUGCAUCAUUACAUUGACUCAUUGCACUCAAUUGCUACACCAUUCCUUGUUCCUUCCAUCAUUUCAGAUUUCAUGCAUUAUUACAUUGAAUCAUUGCACUCAAUUGCUACACCAUUCUUUCUUCCCUCCAUCAUUUCAGAUUCAUGCAUCAUUACAUUGACUCAUUGCACUCAAUUGCUACACCAUUCUUUGUUCCUUCCAUCAUUUCAGAUUUCAUGCAUUAUUACAUUGAAUCAUUGCACUCAAUUGCUACACCAUUCUUUCUUCCCUCCAUCAUUUCAGAUUCAUGCAUCAUUACAUUGAAUCAUUGCACUCAAUUGCUACACCACUCCAUGUUCCCCUCCAUUGCCAUGCACUUCCUCUAUAAAAGGAAGUGUGUGUAACAUAAAUUUAGUUCAUACUUAGUUAGAUCAUUCACUCCCAUUUCAACACAACCUUCAUCCAAACACAUCCAUUCAUCUUCACAUCUAUUCCUCCAUACAAACAAACCUUCAAACACUCACCAACACCUUGUGCCGUAGCAAAGGAAGGGAAGGAAAGUGCUUGGACGUGCUUGCUGUCCAACUUGGAUCGUUUGAGCGUUUAGGUGUUUUCUUUCUUUUGUUUCUAAUGUUUAAAUUCAUUUCCUUUUGUUUUGUUGUAAAUAUGAGUGGCUAAACCCCUCUUGGUUAGGGGUGAUUUCAAAGCCAUGAUUAUGUGUGCAAUAUAAUUUGAUGAAUUUCAGUUAUGAACUCUUGAAUCGUGAAUGCAAUUGGCUUAACUAUUUGAUUGAUAACUUAUUUGUAUUUGUUAAUUAAGGGUCGACACUUAAUUGGCAUGCAUAAAUCUGUUGCUAGAAUAUAAGGAAGUUUCACAUAAUCGUUACAAACUUAUAUUCACAUGUAGUGAAGGUCGCUUAUAAACGAUCGCGUUAAGUUCAAUUCCUAGCAUGAGUGACAUGAUGUCAUAGUUGCAAGUGCUUUGUCAAUGCUUAUGAUUUUCAUUAAACGUAAUGAUCUUUGAUUGUAUCUCUAUUAUGAUGUCAUGUAGGGAACUUUAGAAGAAUGUUUUGGGUUGUCGAAUGAUGUCAUCCAAUCCAAUAAAACAAGGAAAAUCUGAGAGUUAACUAGUGAUGUCACGGUUAAUUUGGAGCAUUGUUGUUCAUAAUUCAAUGAAGUAGUAACUGGAAAUUAAGUUAUUUGCAUACAUCUCAUGUGUGGAGAAAAAGCCUCUAGCUAUCCCAUCCAUCAUCUUAUUUCUCAAAUUUAUUUUACAAUCUGUCUAGUUUUUCAUACUUGUUUGUUUGUUUCAACUUCAUCCGAAUCAAAACACCCCUUUUAGUUUCUUGUUUCAAAGUGUUUCAAAUCUGUUUUAGUUUGUGUUUUUAAGUGUUUUGAUUCAAGUAAAAGUCAACUUUCGUCCAAAGUCAUUCCUAGUGUCUAGUUUAAGUUUAUUUAGUUGUUUUAAGCUGUUUUGAGUAUUUUAAGUUUGCUUUGAGUCUUGUGAGUCUUGUUAAGUGUUUUUAAGUUUAUUUUUAUGUUUUUGAGUCAGUUUAGAGGUUAUUUGCAAGCCUUCCUAAUCUCCGGUCCAGAACGAUCCCUAUUUAUACUUAUACUACAAUUGUCAAAAGAGGGUUAAAUUUGUGUGUUAAGUUAAUUUUCGCAUCAGCUUACAGGAGAAACUUGUUUAAACAUAUAUUCAUUCAUCAAGUGUGUCCCGAGUUGGCCUGCUCAAGAUCUUACGAAAAGGAAACAAGCUAUUUACAUGAUUGUUUCAAACAAAAUAGGACUUGCAAUGUGCAUGAAGAAAAUGUUGUUAGAAAUAUGCCCUGAAAGUCAAUCUUUGGAAGAAACCUUUCAGGACAAUGAAUGGAUGUAUAGAUGAUUCUUGUACAUCAAAUGGCAAAGAUACUAAUUAGGACUAUCUCAACACACGAUAUAUGUCCUAAAUAGUGAAUCCAUGGACAAUGGAUUGAUGGAAGAAGUAAUCUAAUGAUGUUAGACUACAGAGACCUUCUUCACAUAACCAUCAUGUCCAAAAGGUUCCUGGUCAUAGGAUUGUCGGAGGGAUACUGACAAUGCAUAGACCGGUACAUACUAUGUCCGCUUCAAUUGGAAGGAUGGAAAGUCUCGUCCCAUUCGUGUAGUGACACUAAGACAAGUAUGUAGGUGCUCAUUAAGGGAAUGAGUUCACUGAACACAAUCGAACGAGAGUACUUGCAUAGAGGUCUACUCACAUGUCAAGCAAGUAACUCUAAUGGUUGGAAUAAUGUAAGUAGUCCUUUGACCUGAGGCAUCAUAGUUGUCUUGUGGUUAGGUACUUGAUCUUUGAUUAUGUCAAAGUCACUCCAUCCGCGGGUGUCCACGGCAUAGUUGGGGUUAAGCCACUUAGUCAUGGAGGCAAGUGAAUGUGCAACAAGGAAUCUCUAAUCCUCGUUAAGAGAGGAUGAAUACUCUAAGAUAUGAUUCGGGAAUCUUCGGCCGAAGUAUCGAGCGUAAUAAAGGAAAGCGUUCCUAUACGACUCAAAUGAAUCAUAUAAGAAGGAAUAAUCACAUUAGGGGUUUGACAUAAUAUAUCCAUACCCUAGUAAUGUGAUUGAGAGUAUUGUUUUAGAGAAGGAUCGAAUUACAUUGUAAUUCCAAUUGAAUAGGUUCUCCGAACAAAUUCUACAUUAACUUGGGUAGCCAUGAUAUAUGGUUAGAUGUCACUCAUGACUUGUGAGUUCUUCUAGAUGAUUAAAUGUAGUCGUCAAAGAAGAAGGUGAAUUAAAAGUAAGUUUUAAUUCACUAAGUGAUUGGAUUAAAUAUAAUCAAUUGGAUUGGUGCCAAUCACCUCACUGCCUUGCUAAUUAGAACCUAAAAUGAUUGUACACCGAUACACUCUUGUAGUGAGUAACUAAUGGAUGAUGGAAAUAAUUAAUUGGAUUAAUUAAGUGUUGUGAUUAAUUAGAAAGUCUAAAGAAAUCAUAAAAGCGAUAAAAGAUCGUUUUGGGCUUAAAGAAAAGUUCGGGUGUAAUUGGGCCCAUUGGGCCUAAACCCAUUGGGCUUUUAUUCAAGCAUAGGAUGACUUGAAAUGAUAAAAGCCCAAAGCCUAAACCAUACACAUAGGGCCGGCCAAAGAGAGGGAAAGAGAAAGUCAAAUUGUUGACUUGUUUCUUUUGUUAUAAAAGGAACUUUAUAGUGAAAAAGUUCAUUAGGGUUUUUUGUGUGUUCAUUUCAACAAAAGAGAAAACAAAAUAUCUCUCUCUCAAAACACAAAGGGCCGGCCACCAAAGGGGGUAUUUAGCUAAUCUUCUUUUUCUCCCUUUGGUCAUUCCUCCAUCCAUCUCACUACACUAGUGGGUGUGGAUCUUUAGAGGUCUUCAACCUUGGAGACUAAAGGAGAACCAAGGAGCACUCAUUCUAGCAAAGUGGAGGAGGCAAGGAGGGAGGCUAGGCUCAAGGAGUUCCAAGAGCAAAGAACUUGGAGGUGGUCUAUCCUUGGUCUCAAGUCUAAAUCAAGGGGUAUAAAUCUACUCCUACACUUUGUUCUUCAAUAAAAUGUUUUGAUGCAUCUUAUAUAAACCUAUGCAUCUUGAAGGGUAUUUGCAUGACUAUAGCUUUGAUAUUAUUUGAUAACAUGCUUCCGUUGCUUUCGUAUAUAAAUUUUGAAUUGUAUAUGCAUGCUAGUCACUAGAAAUCCCACAUGAAUCUCAUUAUUUUCCCUUUAAAUGUUGCUAUCAUUGAUUCAUUAUCAGAUUCAGAUGUACAAAAACAUAGUUAUUUAUGUGUAACCAACUAACCAAGUAAGCCUCUAAGAAGUUCAAAAGAAUUACAGCCAAUGAAUAAGAAUAACUAAUCCUUCUCUUAACUAAACUAAGAGCCUAUGAAUACACAGUUGUAACUUGUAACCAGAGAUCAAUUUCAAACAUGUAAAUAGGGAUUGACUGUUAUUGAUGUAAUCCUCAUGUAUUAUAAAUUUAUAAAUAGAUUGCUCAACCACAUUAAUGCACGGUAUGCAAUGAAGGAAAAAUUUUGUCCUAGCUAAGAACAUGUGAGAAUAUUUGAACACAUAUGCAAACUAUUAACACAUUAAAGUAGGCAUGCAUUCAAAACAAUUCUAAAACCCAUGACUUUCAAAGCCUAGUGAAUGGUGAACCACAAGACUCUUUAACAUCAUUAAAAAGAAAGAAGGUUUUAGAGAUUCAUUACCCUUGAGCUCAUCCUUGUUUACACAAGGGAUUUACCCAAGUGGAGGGCCUUCAAGUCACCUCCUAGCUCCUUGGAUCUUCCUUGUGAUUUUCUUCCUUUUGAUGCUCCUUUGCUCCUUGAGGAUGUGAGGAAAGGAUCUCCAAAAACACCAAAGAUUUGGUGUCUCUAAGUCUCCACACCAAGGAUGAGGUGUGAAGAUGAAAUGGAUGACUUUUUGAUUGCUAGCUAUAUCUUCUCUAAGUGGCUGGCCUCCUUUAGAGAAAAAGAGAGAAAAUGUUUCUCAUCUUUGCCUCAAGAAAACCCUAAUGAGGUAAAAACUAUAAAGAUGCUUUUCUAUCUAUUUUCUUAGGUGAGUGGCAGACUUGCAAUUAAGCAAAACUUACCACUCCCUCACUAUGGCCGGCCUCUUUUAAGUGAUUGGGCUAUUUGCCCAUAUUGUUUUUAGUUGUCAUACAACUUAAACAUAAUGGGCCUAGUGGACCAAACCCUUUUGGACCCUGAAGCCCAAAACUAACUUAAAAACCCAAUACGAACCUUUCGUAUAAUUAAUUAACUAAUUAAUUAACCUUGACCAUAUUUCAAUUAAACCAUUUAAUUGAUUAUCCAUUUCAUUUAUAUUUCUUCACUUUCAUCCUUACUCGGUGUACGAUCCAUUAGGUUCUAAUUAGCGAGGUAGUGGACGAUUGUUACUGAUAGGAGCAUAUUUAUGCGACUUAGUUAACAUGUUUUCUUGCAUUUACUUAGUUAGUUAUUGCUUAUAAGAGUGUUUUAAGCUAUUUUCGUGUGUUUGUAGGUCCUAAUAACAAAGUUGGAAAGAAAGUGCAUUUUGGUGCAAUUUGGAGCAAUUUUGGGCCAAAAUGGAUUGCAUGCAUAUGAAGCAAGUGGGAUGGACGUUUUUGGUGUUUUAAAAAGGGUUUCAACACAUGCAAAAAUCUGAAUAAUGAAGUUGAAGUGUGGAAGUGUGCAGAUACAUACACGUAAGGAACAAUUUGAAAGGAAAAGAAGUGAAAGAUGCCAUUUGUUGGAUUGCUUUACAAGAUGUAUUCACAUUUUCAGCAACUACAAACAUAAUUGCAAGCUGAAAUGAUGCAUAGCAUGUGUGUAGAGGUGUAAAGUGGUCAAAAGUUGAUGUUUGCAAGAUGAAAUGAUGCAAAACAUGUGUGUGAAAGUUGUCUAACAGCUAGUACAUGUGGAAAAGGGAUGGAAUACAAGGCAAAUGCAUCAGAUAUUGAAGAAUGAAGGCACAUGGACAACUACAAAGGAGUUGAAUUAGCAAAAAAGGAAUGAUUGCCUUUUGUUAAAGGCAAGACACAAUGAUAAAAGAGCAUGUAAACUAGCUGUUUUUGCAUCAUUUUGGUCUUUGUUUGUAUUGUUUAUUGAAGCCACUUGAGUGAUUCUUUGCUUUGGAGCUUCUAUAAAUAGGGAGUGAAGGGAAGAACACUAGACAUUACACUACAUCAAAAACACAUCAACCACCCCUCCAUAUUCAGAAUUUUCGCCAGAAAUCAUUCCCUCUCUUUGCCGCAGCCUUCCACCACCAUUCUCCCAAAUUUCUGCCAAAAUUCACCCCUUGCCGCACCCCCCAUCAAUCCUAAACCCUUCCAUACCCUUCCCUACCCAUUCUCCCAUACAAAUACCACCCAAAAACCUGUCCAAAGUCUCUGUGCCGUAGCAAGGAGGAAGGAGAAUUCGUGGAUGCACCUGCUAUCCAAAUUGGAGUAUCUAGGUGUUUUCUUUCUUUUGAUUUUAAUGUCUAAAUUUAUGUAUAUUUGCUUUGUGAGUAUGAGGAACUAAACCCCCCCUUGGCUAGGGGGGAAUUUGAAACCAUGUUUAUGCUUGCUAUAUGAUUUGAUUACUUCUAAUUGCUUUUCAUAAGUUGUGAAUUCAAUUUACUUAUCUACAAGAAUUAAAACUGAUUUGUGUAUGUUGGUUGAGAGUGCACGCUUAAUUUUCAUGCAUAAGUUUGAUGCUAAGAUAUAAGAGAGUUUCACCUAAUCGUUAUGAACUUAUAUUCACAAGUAGUAAAGGUUGUUGAUCACAAUCGUGUUAAGUAAAUUCUUGGCAUAAGUUUCAUGCAAUUCAUAGUAACGAGUGCUUCGCCAAUGCUUAUGAUUUUCAUAGAACUUAAUGAUUCUUGCUUGUAUCUCUAUUAUGCAAUUCAUGUAGGGAACUUGUGGGGAAUUCUUUGGGUUGUCGUAUGCAAUUCAUCCAAUUCAAUAACUUAAGGAAAAUCUGAGGGUUAAUUAGUGCAAUUCACGGUUAAUCUGGGGUGUUGGGAAUUCAUGGUUUAUUGAGAAGCAAUUGGAAAUCGUUUUGUAUGAAAGUGUGACAUGUGUGGAGAAGAACCCCUUAGCUAGCUUUCCAUCCAUUCACUUUUAUCAAAUUCGUUUUAGAAUCUGUUCAAUUUACAAAGUUUGUUCUUGUUUUCAAUUUUCGUCAAAACUCAAUCCCCAUUUAUUUUGAAGUGUUAGAUUAGUUAGAAAUCAAUUUAGUUUGUGUUUUUAAGUGUCUUGAGUCAAGUCAUAACCCAAUUUCGUCCAAUUUAGUGUUAGGUGUUCAAAACUGCCCAGAAAGUGUUUUUAAGGCAGUUUUGAGUGUUUAUUUGCUGUUUUGAAUCUUUUGGUUUGUUUUGGUGUUUUAUAGUUUAGUUUUGCAUUCUUUGAGUCUAGUUUAGUGUUUUAAACUUUGUUUUUACGUUUUGAGUCAGGUUCAAGUGAUUUGGCAAUCCCUCAUAAUCCCCGGCCUAGAACGAUCCCUACUUACAUACUUUGUGUGCUUAUAUAUUUCGCAUCAGUUACUCUUAACGAUCGAUUGUGAAUUGAAACUACAUUUCAAUUCUCCCUUUGAUUAAGAUUAGUGUUUGCUAAUCUUCAGGGCUUCCACAAACCAUGAGUGACACCUAGCAGCAUGUCAUGGCUACCUAAGCCAAAUAGAAUUGGUUGGAGAACCUAUCCAGUUACAAUUACAAUGCAAUACGGUCAUUCUCUAAUACAAUACUCUUAAUCACAUUGUUUGAGUGAUAGUUUGUAUCAUGUCUACUAUCCAAUGUGAUAUUUCUUUAUAUGAUUCAAUUGAAUAUGAUUUGGAACAUACUUCCUAAGUCAUAUUCGUAUGCUUUGGCCAAAGACUCCCGAAUCAUAUCUUAGAGUAUUCUCCUUCCACCAUGGAAGGUUAGAGAUUCCUUGUUGUGCAUUCAUAUACCUACAUGACUAGAUAGCUUGACCCCAACAAUGCCGUGGACACUCUCGAUGGAAUGCCUUUGACAUCAUCAAAGAUCAAGGACCUAACCAUUAGACAUCUAUGAUGCCUCAGGUCAAAUGACUACUUUGCAUAUUGCAACUUACGAGUUCUUACAUGACAUGUAUGUUCGAACUCUCUUUUGAUCGUUGUUCAGUGUACUCGAUUACUCUUUCAAGCACCUAUGUCUUUGUCUUAGUGUCCAACACUAAAUGACUUGAGACUAGUCAUACUCACGCUUGAGUUGACAUAACACAUACUAACCUUAGCGGAUUGUCAAUGCCCAAUUGGCAAUCCUAUGGCUAGGAACGUUUUAGGAAUGAACAUAAGAGAAAGGUCUCGUUAAUCUAACUUAUUUAAAUCACUUCUCUCUUAGAUCAAAUACAUUCCUUGGAUUCCCUUAUCGCUUAAACACAUGAUACAAUAAAUAGUGAUUAACAACAAGCUUUGCCCUUCAUUAAACAUAUAAUAGUUUAAUACAAUAAGUAUUCCAAAAGCUAUUACAUCAAAUGAGUGGCUUUGUGGGCAUACUUCCAACAAUCUCCCACUUGCACUCAAAGCCACCUUCUCAUGUAUCUAAUACCCAUCUUUUCCAUAUGGCUGUCAAGUUGGAUUUGAGACAUUGGCUUUGUCAGUGGAUCUGCUACGUUAUCGGCUGAGGCAAUCCUGAGGAUGUUGACUUUCCCCUCGGCAGCAUAUCUUCUAAUGAUAUUAAAGCGCCUAUCAAAAUGCUUGUUCUUUUGAUGAGCCCUGCGUUCCUUGGCUUGAGCUAUCGCCCCACUAUUAUCACAGUACAAAGUUACUGGUGAUGUAAUGGUUGGAACCACUCCAAGUUCAGUAAUGAACUUCUUUAUCCAGAACGCUUUUUUGCUGGCUUCAGCUGCAGCGACAUAUUCUGCCUCCGUCGUGGAAUCAGCAAUUACAUCAUUUUCUUGCUUUUCUAGCUAACAGCCCCACCAUUCAGAGUGAAUACAUAUCCUGAGUUGGAACUUCUAUCAUCGACGUCAGAUUGGAAAUCUGCGUCUGUAUAGGCUUCCACUCGCAACUCUGUUGCUCUUCCAUAAACGAGAAACAUGUCCUUAGUUCUUUUUAAGUACUUAAGGACCGUCUUGACAGCUACACAGUGUUUUAAUCCUGGGUUAGAUUGAUAUCGACUAGUAAUGCUCACAGCAUAUACGAUAUCAGGCCUUGUGCAUAUCAUAGCAUACAUGAGACUUCCUAUGGCGGAAGCAUAAGGAAUAGCACUUAUCUGCCGUAUCUCUUCAGGAAUCUUAGGUCCCAUGGACUUAGAAAGGUGAAUUCCAUGUCUCACAGGAAGAAGACUUUUCUUAGAUUGUUCCAUCUGGAACCUACUUAGCACCUUAUCUAUGUACAUAGAUUGGGAUAAUCCAAUUAAUUUUCUGGAUCUAUCACGAUAGAGUUUUAUCCCAAGUACAUAAGAUGCAUCUCCCAAAUCUUUCAUGUGGAAGGUUUUGGACAACCAUACUUUUACAGAAGAAAGUACUGCAGUGUCAUUCCUGAAUAGUAAUAUGUCAUCUACAUAUAACACUAGGAAUACAACUGCAUCCCCAACGACCUCUUGAUAAACACAAUUGUCGUCUUUGUUUUGAGAAAAACCAAACGUUUUGAUUUCAGUAUCAAAACGAAUGUUCUAGCUCCUGGAGGCUUGCUUAAGUCCAUAAAUGGACCUUUGAAGCUUGCAUACCUUAGUCCUUUCAGACUUGGACACGAAACCUUCAGGUUGAGUCAUAUAGAGCUCUUCCUCUAGGUAGCCAUUUAGAAAGGCCGUCUUCACGUCCAUUUGCCAUAUCUCAUAAUCAUGGUACGCAGCUAUAGCAAGGAAAAUCCGAAUGGACUUAAUCAUGGCUGCAAGAAAGAAGGUUUCUUCAUAGUCAAUCCAUUCUCUUUGCCUGUGACCCUUGGUUACGAGUCCAGACCUGAUUUUGAUACAUGGAAUCCAUCUUGGAUUUCAUGGCCUCUUGCCAUCUCUUUGAAUAUAUGUCAGACAUUGCUUCAGUGUAGUCUCUAGGGUCUUCCUUUGUGUCAUUGUCACCUAGAAGGUGCAAUUCCCCAAAGUCAUUAUCUAAGCCAUACCUCUUAGGUGGCUUGCUAACCCUUUCAGAUCUACGUGGAGCUAGAGGUUUAGGAACAGGGUUGUCAACUUGUCGAGUGCUUAUUUGUGGUUCAUAUUAAUCUUAUUAAUUUCCAUUGUUUUACUUAUAGUUCCUUUGAGAACAAAUUCGUCCUCUAGAAACUUAGCAGUUCUGGCGACAAAAACCUUUUGGUCGUUAGGAUGGUAGAACUCAUAUCCCAUAAUUUCUCUAUGAUAUCCCACAAAAUAGCACAUAACUGAUCUCGCUUCAAGCUUAGUAGCUUCAAGCUUCUCGACAUAUGCUUCACAACCCCAAAUCUUAAUGUGAUUAAGACUUGGCUUUCUUCCAUGCCAUAUCUCAUAGGGCGUCUGUGAAACUGACUUGGAAGGUACUCUAUUAAGCAAGUAAGCUGCUGUAUAUAGAGCGUAUCCCCAUAAUGUUAUUGGUAGAUCUGCGAAACUCAUCAUAGAACGAACCAUGUUCAUCAAGGUUCGAUUUCUCCUUUUAGAAACUCCAUUAAGUUGUGGAGUUCCCGGUGGAGUCCACUGUGAUAUUAUUCCACACUCUUUGAGAUAAUCUAGGAACUCGGUACUUAGAUACUCUCCCCCUCAAUCUGAUCUUAGGAUCUUUAUUUGUUUCCCAGUUUUCUUCUCAACUUCCUUCUUGAAUUCUUUGAACUUUUCAAAGGAUUCUGACUUGUACUUCAUAAGAUACACAUAGCCAAACCAAGAAUGAUCGUCGGUGAAUGUGAUAUAGUAGGAGAAGCCUCAUCUCGACGUAUUAGACAUAGGUCCACAUACGUUAGUGUGGAUUAACCCUAGAAUUUCAGUGGCACGCUCUCCUUUCCCAGUGAAUGGAGAUUUGGUCAUCUUCCCUUUUAAGCAACAUUCACAAGUACCCAUUUGGUCAUUACCUAAUGGGCGGAAAUAUCCGUCUUUCGACAUCUUGCGAAUCUUAUCAAGGUUCACAUGUCCAAGUUUAAGAUGCCACAUCUUUUCUCGGUUAACUUCUU
RNAcentral lists this long non-coding RNA (28373 nucleotides) under Malus domestica (apple). RNAcentral describes it as "long non-coding RNA (MDOM_LNC020027)". Lineage: Eukaryota; Viridiplantae; Streptophyta; Magnoliopsida; Rosales; Rosaceae. The record is from RNAcentral.